RNAcentral lists this ribosomal RNA (465 nucleotides) under Vreelandella stevensii. RNAcentral describes it as "partial 16S ribosomal RNA". It matches the Rfam family "Bacterial small subunit ribosomal RNA", at positions 338 to 795 of the family's 1533-position model. The record is from RNAcentral. Lineage: Bacteria; Pseudomonadati; Pseudomonadota; Gammaproteobacteria; Oceanospirillales; Halomonadaceae.
CCUACGGGGGGCUGCAGUGGGGAAUAUUGGACAAUGGGGGGAACCCUGAUCCAGCCAUGCCGCGUGUGUGAAGAAGGCCCUCGGGUUGUAAAGCACUUUCAGUGAGGAAGAACGCCUGGUGGUUAAUACCCAUCAGGAAAGACAUCACUCACAGAAGAAGCACCGGCUAACUCCGUGCCAGCAGCCGCGGUAAUACGGAGGGUGCGAGCGUUAAUCGGAAUUACUGGGCGUAAAGCGCGCGUAGGUGGCUUGAUAAGCCGGUUGUGAAAGCCCCGGGCUCAACCUGGGAACGGCAUCCGGAACUGUCAAGCUAGAGUGCAGGAGAGGAAGGUAGAAUUCCCGGUGGAGCGGUGAAAUGCGUAGAGAACGGGAGGAAUACCAGUGGCGAAGGCGGCCUUCUGGACUGACACUGACACUGGGGUGCGAAAGCGUGGGUAGCAAACAGGAUUAGAUACCCCGGUAGUC